GGGUUGUGAGGUUAAGUGACUAAGCGUACACGGUGGAUGCCCUGGCAGUCAGAGGCGAUGAAGGACGUGCUAAUCUGCGUAAAGCGACGGUAAGGUGAUAUGAACCGCUACAGCCGUCGAUGUCCGAAUGGGGAAACCCGGUGCACUCAGUGCAUCAUUGCAGCAUGAAUACAUAGUGCUGCAAGGCGAACCGGGGGAACUGAAACAUCUAAGUACCCCGAGGAAAAGAAAUCAACCGAGAUUCCCCCAGUAGCGGCGAGCGAACGGGGAGCAGCCCAGAGCCUGAAUCAGCAUGUGUGUUAGUGGAAGCGUCUGGAAAGUCGCAGGGUACAGGGUGAUACUCCCGUACACAAAAGCACA
This 360-nucleotide ribosomal RNA is filed under the name Pantoea anthophila. RNAcentral describes it as "partial 23S ribosomal RNA". It matches the Rfam family "Bacterial large subunit ribosomal RNA", at positions 1 to 389 of the family's 2925-position model. Lineage: Bacteria; Pseudomonadati; Pseudomonadota; Gammaproteobacteria; Enterobacterales; Erwiniaceae. The record is from RNAcentral.